This 1548-nucleotide ribosomal RNA is filed under the name Klebsiella pneumoniae. Its description in RNAcentral is "bacterial SSU rRNA". It matches the Rfam family "Bacterial small subunit ribosomal RNA". Lineage: Bacteria; Pseudomonadati; Pseudomonadota; Gammaproteobacteria; Enterobacterales; Enterobacteriaceae. The record is from RNAcentral.
AAAUUGAAGAGUUUGAUCAUGGCUCAGAUUGAACGCUGGCGGCAGGCCUAACACAUGCAAGUCGAGCGGUAGCACAGAGAGCUUGCUCUCGGUGACGAGCGGCGGACGGGUGAGUAAUGUCUGGGAAACUGCCUGAUGGAGGGGGAUAACUACUGGAAACGGUAGCUAAUACCGCAUAAUGUCGCAAGACCAAAGUGGGGGACCUUCGGGCCUCAUGCCAUCAGAUGUGCCCAGAUGGGAUUAGCUAGUAGGUGGGGUAAUGGCUCACCUAGGCGACGAUCCCUAGCUGGUCUGAGAGGAUGACCAGCCACACUGGAACUGAGACACGGUCCAGACUCCUACGGGAGGCAGCAGUGGGGAAUAUUGCACAAUGGGCGCAAGCCUGAUGCAGCCAUGCCGCGUGUGUGAAGAAGGCCUUCGGGUUGUAAAGCACUUUCAGCGGGGAGGAAGGCGAUAAGGUUAAUAACCUUGUCGAUUGACGUUACCCGCAGAAGAAGCACCGGCUAACUCCGUGCCAGCAGCCGCGGUAAUACGGAGGGUGCAAGCGUUAAUCGGAAUUACUGGGCGUAAAGCGCACGCAGGCGGUCUGUCAAGUCGGAUGUGAAAUCCCCGGGCUCAACCUGGGAACUGCAUUCGAAACUGGCAGGCUAGAGUCUUGUAGAGGGGGGUAGAAUUCCAGGUGUAGCGGUGAAAUGCGUAGAGAUCUGGAGGAAUACCGGUGGCGAAGGCGGCCCCCUGGACAAAGACUGACGCUCAGGUGCGAAAGCGUGGGGAGCAAACAGGAUUAGAUACCCUGGUAGUCCACGCCGUAAACGAUGUCGAUUUGGAGGUUGUGCCCUUGAGGCGUGGCUUCCGGAGCUAACGCGUUAAAUCGACCGCCUGGGGAGUACGGCCGCAAGGUUAAAACUCAAAUGAAUUGACGGGGGCCCGCACAAGCGGUGGAGCAUGUGGUUUAAUUCGAUGCAACGCGAAGAACCUUACCUGGUCUUGACAUCCACAGAACUUUCCAGAGAUGGAUUGGUGCCUUCGGGAACUGUGAGACAGGUGCUGCAUGGCUGUCGUCAGCUCGUGUUGUGAAAUGUUGGGUUAAGUCCCGCAACGAGCGCAACCCUUAUCCUUUGUUGCCAGCGGUCCGGCCGGGAACUCAAAGGAGACUGCCAGUGAUAAACUGGAGGAAGGUGGGGAUGACGUCAAGUCAUCAUGGCCCUUACGACCAGGGCUACACACGUGCUACAAUGGCAUAUACAAAGAGAAGCGACCUCGCGAGAGCAAGCGGACCUCAUAAAGUAUGUCGUAGUCCGGAUUGAGUCUGCAACUCGACUCCAUGAAGUCGGAAUCGCUAGUAAUCGUAGAUCAGAAUGCUACGGUGAAUACGUUCCCGGGCCUUGUACACACCGCCCGUCACACCAUGGGAGUGGGUUGCAAAAGAAGUAGGUAGCUUAACCUUCGGGAGGGCGCUUACCACUUUGUGAUUCAUGACUGGGGUGAAGUCGUAACAAGGUAACCGUAGGGGAACCUGCGGUUGGAUCACCUCCUUACCUUAAAGAA